Molecule: ribosomal RNA, 115 nt
Filed under: Populus tomentosa
Lineage: Eukaryota; Viridiplantae; Streptophyta; Magnoliopsida; Malpighiales; Salicaceae
Source: RNAcentral
GCGAUCAUACGACCACACUAAUGCACCGGAUCCAUCAAACUCCGCAGUUAAACGUGCUUGGGCGAGAGUAGUACUAGGAUGGGUGACCUCCUGGGAAGUCCUCGUGUUGCACCCC